GAGUCAUGCUGUCUUGUGACCAGCCAGGCACUUUUCCAAUCAGAGAGACUGUUAAGAUCUCUGACAACAGAACCUGUCAUUGUUUGAAGAGCAGAUAUCAACAGUGACCUGUAUGCUUGGUGAUCUAGGCUCCGGCAUGUUUUGCUGGUGAUGCUGCAGUUGUUACCCUGGACAUCUGAGUGGGACAUCAGUGGCGGACAUCUGUGGGGGAGGGCUGAAUACCCCUCCGAAUCCGUGGACAGCCCGGUUCCACGGGGCUGUGGGAUUUCCAGCCAAGUCAGGGUGAAAUAAACUUGAAAGGAGCUGAACUCUCCACUCCGGGCCACACGAUUUAAUGUGAUGCAGAAUUUUCAAUUAAUGGCAGUAUCUUGGACUUGAUCAGAUAAUCAAGCCACAAGGACUGAAGCUACAAGGCUUAACACUUUCUAAUUGUUUUUUACAGAAAGGCUUUGUGUGUCAAAAAAUAAUC
Molecule: long non-coding RNA, 469 nt
Organism: Hippopotamus amphibius kiboko
Lineage: Eukaryota; Metazoa; Chordata; Mammalia; Artiodactyla; Hippopotamidae
Exons: 3
Source: RefSeq, a predicted model, not a curated record